AUGGUGGUGAAGAAGAGAGCGGCGGCCAUUGCCGCCCUGUGCAUGCUCCUGCUCCUCAUGCUGUCAAGGCCAUCUCGUCAGCAGCUCUCGGAUCACUCCUGCGACUGCUACCGAAAGUGCUACUUAGAGUGCAAGAACGCCUUCCCGAUGCUCUGCAAGGUCGUGUGUGGCGGCAGCUGCAAUGACAACAAGGACCCUGUCGUCGCCUGCAUGGUCGCCUGCUGCACCAACUCUGUCUGUGGCCUGCCACCAGCGCCAUCCGUUUGCGCUCCGGAUUGUAUCCAUGCAUGCAACAAGACGUGGGGUGGCCAUGGUCCCAGCAAGGAACCUUAA
Molecule: ribosomal RNA, 333 nt
Filed under: Triticum aestivum (bread wheat)
Lineage: Eukaryota; Viridiplantae; Streptophyta; Magnoliopsida; Poales; Poaceae
Description: partial small subunit ribosomal RNA
Source: RNAcentral